GAUGGACGCUGGCGGCGUGCCUAAUACAUGCAAGUCGAGCGAACGGACGAGAAGCUUGCUUCUCUGAUGUUAGCGGCGGACGGGUGAGUAACACGUGGAUAACCUACCUAUAAGACUGGGAUAACUUCGGGAAACCGGAGCUAAUACCGGAUGAUAUUUUGAACCGCAUGGUUCAAAAGUGAAAGACGGUCUUGCUGUCACUUAUAGAUGGAUCCGCGCUGCAUUAGCUAGUUGGUAAGGUAACGGCUUACCAAGGCAACGAUGCAUAGCCGACCUGAGAGGGUGAUCGGCCACACUGGAACUGAGACACGGUCCAGACUCCUACGGGAGGCAGCAGUAGGGAAUCUUCCGCAAUGGGCGAAAGCCUGACGGAGCAACGCCGCGUGAGUGAUGAAGGUCUUCGGAUCGUAAAACUCUGUUAUUAGGGAAGAACAUAUGUGUAAGUAACUGUGCACAUCUUGACGGUACCUAAUCAGAAAGCCACGGCUAACUACG
This 495-nucleotide ribosomal RNA is filed under the name uncultured bacterium. Its description in RNAcentral is "partial 16S ribosomal RNA". It matches the Rfam family "Bacterial small subunit ribosomal RNA", at positions 28 to 505 of the family's 1533-position model. The record is from RNAcentral.